Molecule: ribosomal RNA, 490 nt
Filed under: uncultured bacterium
Lineage: Bacteria
Description: partial 16S ribosomal RNA
Rfam family: Bacterial small subunit ribosomal RNA
Source: RNAcentral
AUUGAACGCUGGCGGCAGGCCUAACACAUGCAAGUCGAACGGUAACAGGAAGCAGCUUGCUGCUUCGCUGACGAGUGGCGGACGGGUGAGUAAUGUCUGGGAAACUGCCUGAUGGAGGGGGAUAACUACUGGAAACGGUAGCUAAUACCGCAUAACGUCGCAAGACCAAAGAGGGGGACCUUAGGGCCUCUUGCCAUCGGAUGUGCCCAGAUGGGAUUAGCUAGUAGGUGGGGUAACGGCUCACCUAGGCGACGAUCCCUAGCUGGUCUGAGAGGAUGACCAGCCACACUGGAACUGAGACACGGUCCGGACUCCUACGGGAGGCAGCAGUGGGGAAUAUUGCACAAAGGGCGCAAGCCUGAUGCAGCCAUGCCGCGUGUAUGAAGAAGGCCUUCGGGUUGUAAAGUACUUUCAGCGGGGAGGAAGGGAGUAAAGUUAAUACCUUUGCUCAUUGACGUUACCCGCAGAAGAAGCACCGGCUAACUCCGUG